GUUAUGAAUAAAAUGCAACGACAAACUGUGUGAGCGCCCCUUUGAUAGUCAAUGCAGUAAAGUGCAAUGACACUGUUAUUGAUCCCCCUCGAGGGGGCCCCUCUCAGUCGCUGACAGCAGCCAGCCAGCCAGGUUUGUGAUCUCUGCUGCCUGCAAAAUACAAAACCUCGGCAGUCAUGAAGCGGAAUUAUGAAUCAGGAAGCCAUAAAAGAAAGAAGAGAAAGGAAGAGGAGGAUAAGAAAAAACAAGAUAGUGGAUUUGAGGACUCCCAAAACUGGGUCGGGGGCUGAAAGUGGAGAGGUGACUGUGGCGACGUGGCAGUAUUUUGACUUGAUGCACGAGGUUCUUGGUGCCCGGCCAGCAAUUGACCCACCAGUCCUUGUGUCAUCUAUUCAAGACCCCAUGGUUAUCCUCAUGGAGAUGGUGGAGCCCUACACCCAAGCACCCCCGACAGCAGCCAGCACCCCACUACACCCUACCACAUCCAUCAUACCACCACGAAGGAGGUCCAAAACAGUGGCAGAACUCCUGGCUGAGGAGGCCCUUCAGGAGCAGAGGCGCCAUGAAGACAGUGAGGCCAAGACGGAUCGCUUUCUGGAUCUCUUUGAGAGGAUGAUAAACAAAUUAUAAUUAUUGAUUACUGUUGUUCCUAUGUUUUUUAUUCUUGCUAUUUAUUAAUUUAUGCUAUUUAUUAUUCCUAUUUAUUAUUGUUAUAUAUAUUUCUAAUUGUAAUGUUACUUGUUGAACAAUUAAAUAUUCUUGUUUACAAAAGUUUUUUCUAUGUGUGAUAAAUGCUACAAGAAGCAGAUAGUUUUAAAACAUUUUUUUUCUAACUAUCAAUCAACAAAUAAAUAACAAAGUAUGAACAUAAUCAUCAGGAUAAACUUGUAAGGGAACAUAAAUACCAACAGGUAACUGUAGAAAAACUAUUUACAAGUGAUUAGUAAGCGUAAUAACAUUUAAACUUCAUAUGAAACUUGGGCAGCCAGUGAGUCUCGGAUAACAAAUCCUGGUGUUUCAUUGAGUCCAAUUUGUUCUUGAGGGGGAUGGGGGUCAAGGUCAUCCCUGGCAAUGUCUUCAUCAGGAUCCAGUGUGUCUCCAUUAUUUAAGCAAACAUUGUGCAAGGAGGCACAGGAAGCAAUGACCUGUGGGGCAAAGGUAGGCUUGACUUCUAGCGCCCAGAAAAGGGUUGACCUCCACCUUGUCUUCAUCAUCCCGAAGGCCCGCUCUAUCACACAACGCGCCUUGGAUUGGCGGUAAUUAAAGCGCUGCUGCACCCGCCCAAUCAACGGCUCUUUAUAGGGAGUCAACAGACAUACGGGCGUCUGGAGGCAGGGGUACCCACCAUCACCUAAAAGCAUGUAACCCGGCGGUGGAUACCUGGCAGUCAAAUAAAAAUAACUGUUUUUCAUUACCCUUUUGUCAUGGACAGACCCUGGGUAGCCCACAAAAAUGUCCAAAAAUGUCCCCUUUCCAUCGCAUAUGGCCUGCAUGUUAAUUGAAUAAAAGUUCUUGUAAUUUAGAUAGUCUAAUCGAUGUAGUUGUGGUGGCUUGAUCCGAAUAUGGGUUCCAUCGAUCGCCCCGACAACAUUUGCAAAAGCAGGGGUCCCUGAUAGAUCAGCAAACCCUUGCCCUACUACUUUCAGCUCCUCAUAGGCCUGUGGGAAGGAGAUCACCCUGUUCAAAUUGUUCCAGAUACUUUGUGCCACCCGGUGUAUAACUCUGUGCACAGUUGCCUUCGGUACACUGAACACCCUGGAUACCACCCGGUAUGACAAUCCAUGGGCAAGCCAAUGUGUGUAGAUCAGGAUUUCAAAUUGAUUCCCCCAACCAUGAUCUUGGGGAGGAGCCUCUGCAGGCUGUUCAUGGCACGUCUGGACAGGCGAAAAUCUUGCCACAGUUCAGCCCCCUCAUCGCGCCAUAUCCGCAGGAUGGGCACAGCCGCAUCCACCCUGCAAUACAUAGGUGGACGAUCCGCCUGGAGAAACAAAAAGACUGAUGAUCAAACUGGGGUCGAGAUGAUGCCUCAUGAAAUGUCAAAGCCUCUCAGCCAGAUGAACCACCAAAGUGGUUCGAUAAAAUCAUUUGAGAAUUCAUAAAUCAGUUGGCUAAGAUUUUCAGAUCGCGGGACAGCACAACGUAAUUUCGCCUAUGAAUCCUACUCGAUACGGAGCUUCGCUGGGGAGGAGCCGACACCAACUUGACGCACGCCCCGAUGCCUCGACGCAAACCAUUACAUCACUAUUUAAAACCACUUGAUGAUAACAUUUCCUAACUCACCCGGCACUGACAAAAAUAAAUGAACACAUACAUGGUUAAAAAACAGAUCGUAUACAAACACAUACGAAAGCUAGCCUACAUUUCCAGCUGAGCCGGCUGGCUAACUGAUAUUUCAUACAAUGAAAAAAUAAAGAAGAGUUAUACGUACCAUCAUUUGAUUAGUUAUAAUGUCGGUUGCCUUCCCCAAGGCAACGGACAUUAUAACCGGUGAGGACGGCAUCAUGAAUUAAUAAUUAAUGCGACUCAAUUGCCACCUUUGAGAGGGGUCUGUGCGCGUGGAACUCAACUGUAGACAUACCCUAUAUCAAGGUAGUGUAAUGUUCUGUUACGUAAUUGGAUGUUUUAUGUGUUUUUCCUUCUGAACACCCACUGAUCGUACCUCAUACGAAUUAACGUUUUAACAUUAUUUAGGAUCUUCAUGCUCUUCCACCGGCACAUUUUGCAUGUUUCCAUCGGUUAUUGUCUACUUUUAAUAAAGAAACCAAAUGCAAUAUGUUCUUGUACUGUUGUGCUUUGAUAUAGUGGUCAGUUAGAAUGAAGAUCAAAUCACAUUCCAGUGACCAUAAUGUGUUUGUGCAUGUAAGACGUGGAUUUUUGUAGCCUAUCAACAAAUUAUUCACGACAAGACACGUCUUAUUUUGCAUAGCUCCUCCAAGCGAUGUGUGUGUACACUAUCGAUUGAAGGAGCUUGGCUAGAUUUCAUUCCAACCAACUAUGGCAAUGUUUUGAUACGUUGAGGGGAGUGUCUUAUGUCUGCAUUUAUUUGAAAGAGCAUAUGCACAGAAAAGCAGACGGACGGAGUUGCAAUGGAGAUCCUGCGAGUUUUUAAAGCCAUGUGACGCGUCACAUCACAUAGGGAAGUUAACGCCAGCAUUUCUGACGUUUUUAUCCACUAAUUCAUUAUGUUAUGUGAGGCAACGCAACGCAACGUAUGCUUGAUCUGAAACAUGCCUACUCUUGGCCUCUGUUGACAUAGCAGUCAGCUGUCCGCAGUCAGCGACGAUGAAGCCACGUAAUGGAGGGGCGUCCCGUUUCUUAG
Molecule: long non-coding RNA, 3319 nt
Filed under: Gadus morhua (Atlantic cod)
Lineage: Eukaryota; Metazoa; Chordata; Actinopteri; Gadiformes; Gadidae
Description: lncRNA (ENSGMOG00000035463.1)
Source: RNAcentral